ACUAAGUGAUGAAAUACCGACACAUGCGCGUCAUCUGAUGCUGUGAAAGGUGCAGAGUUGAAGUUCAGUGCCGUGUUUUAUGUGUGCUGCAAUAUUCGAUUUUGUGUCCUGAAACAGUGUUAAUGAUUAUUAAGUGUCUCUGAAAUU
Molecule: small nucleolar RNA, 147 nt
Filed under: Bombyx mori (domestic silkworm)
Lineage: Eukaryota; Metazoa; Arthropoda; Insecta; Lepidoptera; Bombycidae
Description: Bm_18
Source: RNAcentral